GGAGUAUGGGCCGUGUCUCAGUCCCAUUGUGGCUGAUCAUCCUCUCAAACCAGCUACUGAUCGUCGCCUUGGUGGUCAAUUACACCGCCAACAAGCUAAUCAGAUGCAGGCUCAUCCUAGAGCACCGGAGUUUUCAAGAAUACUAUUUCAAGUACGCUCAUAUGGGGUAUUAGCAGAAGUUUCCCUCUGUUGUCCCCCACUCUAGGGCAGAUUUCCUACACAUUACUCACCCGUCCGCCACUUUCCACAAGAGCAAGCUCUUGCUUCUCGUUCGACUUGCAUGUAUGAGGCACGCCGCCAGCGUUGUCCUGAGCCAGGAUCAAACUACU
Molecule: ribosomal RNA, 329 nt
Filed under: uncultured cyanobacterium
Lineage: Bacteria; Bacillati; Cyanobacteriota
Description: partial 16S ribosomal RNA
Source: RNAcentral